CUACCAUCUCCGACCUCAGAUCGGACGAGAUUACCCGCUGAAUUUAAGCAUAUAACUAAGCGGAGGAAAAGAAACUAACAAGGAUUUCCCCAGUAACGGCGAGUGAAGCGGAAAUAGCCCAGCACCGAAUCCCUCAGUGUCACGCUGACGGGAACUGUGGUGUAUGGGACGCCACCAGUCGCAUCAGUGGGCACCGAAGUCCUCCUGAUCGAGGCUUCACCCAGAGCGGGUGUAAGGCCUUUGCAGGUGCCCUACUGUGCGGCCGCGAGCGUCUCAGGAGUCGGGUUGUUUGGGAAUGCAGCCCAAAGCGGGUGGUAACUCCAUCUAA
Molecule: ribosomal RNA, 328 nt
Filed under: Phyllocaulis variegatus
Lineage: Eukaryota; Metazoa; Mollusca; Gastropoda; Systellommatophora; Veronicellidae
Description: eukaryotic LSU rRNA
Rfam family: Eukaryotic large subunit ribosomal RNA
Source: RNAcentral